Molecule: long non-coding RNA, 432 nt
Organism: Aquila chrysaetos chrysaetos
Lineage: Eukaryota; Metazoa; Chordata; Aves; Accipitriformes; Accipitridae
Exons: 3
Source: RefSeq, a predicted model, not a curated record
CGCUCGGAGGACCCCAACCGCUGUGCUUGUGUCGGCGUGGUUGAUGGCAGGCAGCACCCACCCAGCAGCUCGGCAAGGUGCGAACCAUCCCGCGGGUGCUGCGCCCACAAGCCUCGUCCUUUCCGAUGUGUGCCGAGGGCAAGCCUGUUCACACCUGGGACCCAACGUACGUCCACAGAGAGAGAAAACAGGGAAAACGCAGCAAGAGCAGGCACUUUGGAAAGCUUCAAUGAUUUAGACGUGGAAGUCCCCAGACUGCAGAUGUACUGAUGGCUAUGAAGCACCCACGCCUGAGAUGUAGUAUGUGUGCUACACAGGCAGAUCCUCUGCGGCAGGAACGUAUGCUUGCUUCCUUGGCCAUUACACUGCCACGGUAAUAUUUUCCUCAAACCACGGAUCAGCCAGAAGACGAGUGGAAGGCAGUGAGGCAAG